Molecule: ribosomal RNA, 253 nt
Filed under: uncultured bacterium
Lineage: Bacteria
Description: partial 16S ribosomal RNA
Rfam family: Bacterial small subunit ribosomal RNA
Source: RNAcentral
UACAGAGGGUGCGAGCGUUGUUCGGAAUUAUUGGGCGUAAAGGGCGCGUAGGCGGUGCGGUAAGUCACCUGUGAAAUCUCCUGGCUCAACUGGGAGCUUGCAGGCGAAACUGCCGUGCUGGAGUGUGGGAGAGGUGCGUGGAAUUCCUGGUGUAGCGGUGAAAUGCGUAGAUAUCAGGAGGAACACCUGUGGCGAAAGCGGCGCACUGGACCACAACUGACGCUGAGGCGCGAAAGCUAGGGGAGCAAACAGC